Molecule: small nuclear RNA, 105 nt
Organism: Stegostoma tigrinum
Lineage: Eukaryota; Metazoa; Chordata; Chondrichthyes; Orectolobiformes; Stegostomatidae
Source: RefSeq, a predicted model, not a curated record
GCGUUUCUGAGUGUUGCAGACGGUAAGUUCUGGUCUCAACAGAGAAGGUUAGCAUGGCCACUUAUCAAGGAUGACAUGCAAAUUUGUGAAGCAUUCCAUUUUUUU